GCUUAAUCUCAGCUAAAUAUAAUUCAAAGCUGUAAAGGAAACGAGAAAACAUCUAAUUUAGUUUAGCGAAAAUGGAGGAAGAAUUUAAUGCUGGAAGGAUCAAAGGCGCUGCUAAGAGGACUUUGCAAAUUACACCUCUUGAUGAGGAAGAUCAAGAAGAGGUUCAAAUUGAUGACAGUGGAGAUGUUGAUUCGUAUGAUGAUGAUGAUGAGACGGAGGAGGAGGAUGAAGACAAGGAA
This 239-nucleotide unclassified non-coding RNA is filed under the name Hevea brasiliensis (rubber tree). The record is from RNAcentral. Lineage: Eukaryota; Viridiplantae; Streptophyta; Magnoliopsida; Malpighiales; Euphorbiaceae.